Long non-coding RNA from Ricinus communis (castor bean), 1000 nucleotides. RefSeq lists it as uncharacterized. The record is from RefSeq and is a predicted model, not a curated record. Lineage: Eukaryota; Viridiplantae; Streptophyta; Magnoliopsida; Malpighiales; Euphorbiaceae. The transcript has 3 exons.
UUAUUAGUCAUAUUUACAUUUCACAAGCUCCAUUUACUUACCUUUCAUAAUUUGUUAAUUAGUAGUGAUUGGCUUGAAGAGCCUCACCACUAGGAUUCUUAUAUGGUUUCUACUAUGAAUCUUGAUCAUAGGAGGGUCCUUUGGCUAGCCCAGCCUAUCAGACAUGGUACUUAGGCAAGCGGAUAUAUGGCUAGGAGGAGGGACCUAAUAGACGUGAGUACCCUUAUCUCCUCCUAUAUCUAUGUUUUGGACGGUUGAUCUCGCUGAUGAGGAGUGAGCGAUGAGCUUGGAGGGGUACGACGACCCCGAGGAUCUUAACAUUUGGUCUCGAAGGAUGAAUUACACCUCUUUUAUUCCUUGGCUGUUAGGGCUCGUGACUUCGGACGACGAGACCAUGGCUCAAUUCUUACGUUGUGCACCUUUAGUUCUUGAGCCGACAAAGGGGCGAUCUACUCGUCGUUCCAUGUCCUCUCACAUUUCGGGUUCAUCUAUAGGAGUUGCUUUUGAAGUGCCUCCUACAACAAUAUCUGAUGUAAUUCCAGGGAGUAUCCCUUUCUUCCCAGACCCGAUGGUGUCUUAUUGCAGUCCCUUUGAUGCAAUAGAGCAUCGACUUGUUAUGAAGUUGAGCCUUCCUCUAGAAUUCACUUCGAGUACUUGUACAUAUGGAAGUCAUGUUCUUUUGAUGCUUUGCACCUUUCCUUUUCUCCUGAAAUGUUAGUAAUACAUGUAAUCAUACAGGUCCAAAGAAACCAAUUCGAGCACAUACAUCGGUUUGUCGAAGCUGCGCGGAGACAAUUCUUCAUUAUUAGCGAAGAUUGGCGAACCACGAGGGCUUGCAGGGGUGGGUAGAUGCCCACCAGUGUCAGAUUGAGGCUUAACAGCCUAGGAUUAGUACUUUGAUGCUCUAAUUGUCUACUCUAUGGACUCAUGGGAUGGUUGCUGACUCAGAUGAUGAGAUGGAGGAUUCAAGAGAGAGUCCUGACGACUUUUAAUUCUUUAA